UCCUGCGGGCGCGCUGGGGCUGAGCCAGGGAUUCCCAGGCAGUAAUGGAUGCCACUUGGCUGAAGCCACAAUGCAGCUGCACUGAGCUGGUUGCAGGGGGCUGCAGUCUCCAGCAGGCACGCACCACAGGGACCCACCAAGGAGUGAGUGCAGCCUGAGGGAGCACAGCUGCAAAGACCCAUCUUCCUCCAAACCCCUAUCUCCUGUGGUGUUGCUCAGGACUCUUUCGAUGAUGAAUUGUUCUUUGAACAUACUUCUGUUCCACUGCAUAAUACAAAAUGCACAGCUCAACUGAUAAGGCCUGCCAAGCUGCAACAAGUAAGAAUUUCAGUAUUCCAUUGCCAGCACAUUCGACCAUCAAAUACUAUUGACUCCUGACUAAGCAUAUCUGGGAAAAGGACAGAAGCGUAAGUCAAUGGUGAGGGAGUUACUGGAGGUGGUCAGAUACCUCCACAGCCGACACGUGGUCCACUGGGAUAUCAAGAUGGAAAACAUUCUCCUCGACGACCGGAUCCAUAUCCGAUCUCCCAUUUCGGAUUCUCCUGCAUCUUGCAGCCCGGCCAGACGCUGAAAGGAAAAGCAAAAGGAGCCAGAGGCAGACCAAGAGGAAGGACCUAUUAAGCCCAGAGACCAAGUUUAUGUACGAGCCAUUCGAAGAACAUGGAAUGAACAAAGAAGGGAAGGACCAUUCACAGUAACUAAGGCCUCACCUACUGCAGUUCAGGUGGAGGGCCAAUCCAUGUGGUACCAUCUUAAUCAUUGCACAAGGGCUAUUCUGCCAGCACAGCUCGAGGGUAACCCCGAGUCUCUCCCAGUAAAAUCUGCGGUAAAGCAAUUCCCAUUGUUAUCGGGAGAAGACGAAUCCGACCCUCAAGAAAAACGGACCUCGAUGCUGGAAUACUACUACAACGGAGAAGAUAUUUUAUUUAUUUAUUUAUUUAUUUUUUUGUUUAUUUUUGUUUAUUUUAUUAGAAGUUAAUACAGCACAAAACAGUACAGUGGCACCUAAUUUUAGGUGCCAACUAUGUAAUACCGUAAUCCAUUCUAUGUACAACCUCUAGUUUUAUGUUAUAAGAAGGAAGUAAGCAGGACAAGAAAAAGAAAACAAUAGAAAGGGGAAAAAGUGGAAAAAUAGAUGGUAGAGAGUAGAAAAACGUGAAGUGUGUAUAUAAAAAAUAAAAAAAGGAAGAGAGAAAGUGGAAAGUAGAAAUAGAAGAGAAGGCCCCUUAAAAGAGAAUUUUACAAAUCUGUAUUCGGAGAUGUAGAUCUAUCCGCGUCAUGAACUGAAAUCAGCAAUCCUUACGGUACCGCUGCAUCACAUGAUUCCAAAAAGUCGAUGAAAGGAGACCAACUCCUUAAGAAUUGGUCAUAUUUAUCUAUUAGUCGGAGUCUCAUUUCUUCAAGGCGUGCUAUGUCCAUCACAUUCCUAAUCCACAUUUUAACAGUUGGUGUGGUUGUAUUUUUCCAAAAUUUAAGUAUCAAUUUCUUUCCAAUUAUUAACCCAUAAUUAAAAAAAACAUAUUGAUCUUUAUUUAAAUUGGUAUCUUCUCCUAUUAUUCCAAAUAUAAUCCAUUCCGUUUUGGGUUCUAUUCUUGACUUGAAAAUCUUUGUAAAUAUAUCAACGGAGAAGAUAUUUUAGAAGGCUACUAAAGGAAGUCUGUAAGGGAAGCUGGGUCUUUUUUCCUGCCCCACGAACAUGGGGGUAGGUUUUUGGCUCAGUCUCCCAGGGAGCUAGAGAAAGAACAUUGCACAGCAUUGCACUAACAUCAUUAAAAACCCUGCAUUUCAGGGCUCUAUGUGUGAUUCCACCUGGGAAAAUGUGUGUGUGGCUUUCUUUUUCUCUGAGACCAAAUGGUCUAAAUUGGUGGAAUUAUAUGGAAGUAUACACAUAGCAGCAGAUGUCAGCUAUUUUACGUAACCAGAUGUCAGCUACUUUACUUAAUACUCACGUGAUUGUCAGUCCUUUAGCAACACAUUCAUGUUAUUAUUAGUCAAUUAGUUAAAUAAUUUGUCCAGUAAACAAGUUACUUACUUCUACUUGUGUAUCUUUGUAUUUUUAGUCAUUCAUUUGUAUCUUUGUAUUCAACCUAUAAACUGGUAUGUAACCUUUGAAACAAGCAAGUUGUAGCUGGAAAAUAAGGGUAGCGAAAUAGAGGGUAAUAAGUGAGUUAGAGUGACAGCUGGGAGAUUAGAAUGGCAGCUGGGAAAUAAGGGUAGGGAAAGAAGAAGAGAUAUGGGAAGAGAUAUAAGAAUUUAGAUAAGAUUGAAACGACAAUGGAUGUUAAUGGUGGCAGGACAGAGAGUGUCAGAAUAGAAGAUGGAUGGGUACAAGAGGAGUAUGAGUAUGCAAGAUAAGGUAGAAGAGAUAUACCUGUAAAACUAUUUUUUUUUAAAAAGGAGCCUGCUGCUGUAAUGUGUGAGGAGUCAGGGAGCAGGCAGGCGGUUGUCUUCCCUGAGUGUUGCAGCUGAUGUUUGCAAAUAAAGGCUUUUCGACUUCUUGAAGAAUUCGCCCAGGGGAUUGUUUGUGUCAUCUAGCAAUGUUACAAAACUUUGAGAUUUUAAAAAUCAAGUCUGCAAAUUACCCCCAUCAGAUAAAGCAUAAAAAGAAGUUUAAUUUGACACCUAAUUCACUUUCAUAUCUUCAGUAUUAAAAAGGUUAUGGCCAUUUUCACACUCGGAAAUUAGCAUCUUGUUCCCUAUUGCUUUUCCAUUGACUUAAUUCAAAAGCUGUGAUCGAGGACAGUCAAAAACCCACAACUUUCUUAAAAAUUAAGAGAACUGAAUGACAUUUUCAGUUAUUAUAGAUUGAAGCAUUCUGAAACAAAUAUGAAACAAUCUACUUGGAUGACCUGAAAUUAAAGCAUAUUAUUAAUUAGUUACCUAAUUGUA
Molecule: long non-coding RNA, 2889 nt
Organism: Leucoraja erinaceus (little skate)
Lineage: Eukaryota; Metazoa; Chordata; Chondrichthyes; Rajiformes; Rajidae
Exons: 5
Source: RefSeq, a predicted model, not a curated record